Molecule: ribosomal RNA, 465 nt
Filed under: uncultured bacterium
Lineage: Bacteria
Description: partial 16S ribosomal RNA
Rfam family: Bacterial small subunit ribosomal RNA
Source: RNAcentral
GAUGAACGCUGGCGGCGUGCUUAACACAUGCAAGUCGAACGGAAAGGCUCCUGCUUGCCGGGGUUUUCGAAUGGCGAACGGGUGAGUAACACGUGGGUGAUCUGCCCUGCACUUCGGGAUAAGCCUGGGAAACUGGGUCUAAUACCGGAUAGGACGAUGGUUUGGACGCCAUUGUGGAAAGUUUUUCGGUGUGGGAUGAGCUGGAGGCUUAUGAGCUUGUUGGUGGGGUAAUGGCGUACCAAGGCGGCGACGGGUAGCCGGCCUGGGAGGGUGCACAGCCCCAAUGGGCCUGAGAGAGGCACCAGUCGGCAACGUGAGGCAAUGGUGGGAAGUAUGGCGCAGUGGGCGCGAGCGUGUGACGAAGGCGCCGCGUGGGGAAAGACGGCCUUCGGGGGAUGAACUCAUUUCGCUAGAGACGAGGCGCAAGUGACGGUACCUGGAGAAGAAGCACCGGCUAACUACGUG